AUUGAACGCUGGCGGCAGGCCUAACACAUGCAAGUCGAGCGGAUGAAGGGAGCUUGCUCCUGGAUUCAGCGGCGGACGGGUGAGUAAUGCCUAGGAAUCUGCCUGGUAGUGGGGGAUAACGUCCGGAAACGGGCGCUAAUACCGCAUACGUCCUGAGGGAGAAAGUGGGGGAUCUUCGGACCUCACGCUAUCAGAUGAGCCUAGGUCGGAUUAGCUAGUUGGUGGGGUAAAGGCCUACCAAGGCGACGAUCCGUAACUGGUCUGAGAGGAUGAUCAGUCACACUGGAACUGAGACACGGUCCAGACUCCUACGGGAGGCAGCAGUGGGGAAUAUUGGACAAUGGGCGAAAGCCUGAUCCAGCCAUGCCGCGUGUGUGAAGAGGGUCUUCGGAUUGUAAAGCACUUUAAGUUGGGAGGAAGGGCAGUAAGUUAAUACCUUGCUGUUUUGACGUUACCAACAGAAUAAGCACCGGCUAACUUCGU
Molecule: ribosomal RNA, 483 nt
Filed under: uncultured bacterium
Lineage: Bacteria
Description: partial 16S ribosomal RNA
Rfam family: Bacterial small subunit ribosomal RNA
Source: RNAcentral